This is a small nucleolar RNA of Zingiber officinale, 102 nucleotides long. RefSeq annotates it as small nucleolar RNA snoR99. The transcript has a single exon. Lineage: Eukaryota; Viridiplantae; Streptophyta; Magnoliopsida; Zingiberales; Zingiberaceae. The record is from RefSeq and is a predicted model, not a curated record.
AUACUAUGGGAUGAACUGGUCCCAAACAUUCAAAGAUCAUCCAUUUCACUUUGUUAGCUAAUUUAUCUUAUCCUUUAGCUGAUCAUUGAAGAUGAAACAUUU